AUGCACGCGACAAAUGUGCCAAAUGAUGAUUACAUGUAUGCAUCACAAGAAUAUGAAACCCGAUAUGAUGAUGACAAUCUUGAUGUGGACGAUGAGGGCUUUGUUGUCAUGGGAAGAAGUGGAAAUUAUACCACCGCGGAGUAUGUGUUGAUAUGCACCGCUUGGAAGAAAAUCUCUCACGAUGCAAGCGUUGGAAGUGACCAAAUGGUGAACACCUAUUGGCAACGCAUCAAGGAGUACUUUGAUGAGCGCAACACAAGUGGUCACUUCCGUUCGAGCGACUCCCUACGCCAACGUUGGCCCACCAUCAACGCCGAAUGCCAAAAGUGGGCCGGUUGCUUGUCAAACGUUGCUCGGAUGAACCCAAGUGGUUGCGGUGAUAGUGACUUGGUAAAUAUUUCCUCUUCGUGCGUGCUUUGUCAAAUAUUUCCUCUUUGUUCCACA
Molecule: ribosomal RNA, 444 nt
Filed under: Triticum aestivum (bread wheat)
Lineage: Eukaryota; Viridiplantae; Streptophyta; Magnoliopsida; Poales; Poaceae
Description: partial small subunit ribosomal RNA
Source: RNAcentral